CAGUAGCCGCGGUAAUACGUAGGGUGCGAGCGUUAAUCGGAAUUACUGGGCGUAAGGCGGGCGCAGACGGUUACUUAAGCAGGAUGUGAAAUCCCCGGGCUCAACCUGGGAAUUGCGUUCUGAACUGGGUGGCUAGAGUGUGUCAGAGGGGGGUAGAAUUCCACGUAUAGCAGUGAAAUGCGUAGAUAUGUGGAGGAAUACCGAUGGCGAAGGCAGCCCCCUGGGAUAACACUGACGCUCAUGCACGAAAGCGUGGGGAGCAAACAGGAUUAGAUACCCGAGUAGUCCCUGUCUCUUAUAC
RNAcentral lists this ribosomal RNA (301 nucleotides) under uncultured bacterium. RNAcentral's name for it is "partial 16S ribosomal RNA". It matches the Rfam family "Bacterial small subunit ribosomal RNA", at positions 509 to 807 of the family's 1533-position model. The record is from RNAcentral.